This 782-nucleotide ribosomal RNA is filed under the name uncultured bacterium. RNAcentral describes it as "bacterial SSU rRNA". It matches the Rfam family "Bacterial small subunit ribosomal RNA", at positions 578 to 1356 of the family's 1533-position model. The record is from RNAcentral.
GUUUGUCGCGUCGUCUGUGAAAUUCCGGGGCUUAACUUCGGGCGUGCAGGCGAUACGGGCAUAACUAGAGUGCUGUAGGGGAGACUGGAAUUCCUGGUGUAGCGGUGAAAUGCGCAGAUAUCAGGAGGAACACCGAUGGCGAAGGCAGGUCUCUGGGCAGUUACUGACGCUGAGGAGCGAAAGCAUGGGUAGCGAACAGGAUUAGAUACCCUGGUAGUCCAUGCCGUAAACGGUGGGCGCUAGGUGUGGGGGUUUUAUUUACGAUUCCCGUGCCGUAGCUAACGCAUUAAGCGCCCCGCCUGGGGAGUACGGCCGCAAGGCUAAAACUCAAAGGAAUUGACGGGGGCCCGCACAAGCGGCGGAGCAUGUGGAUUAAUUCGAUGCAACGCGAAGAACCUUACCUGGGCUUGACAUACACCGGAUCGCUGUAGAGAUGUAGUUUCCCUUGUGGCUGGUGUACAGGUGGUGCAUGGUUGUCGUCAGCUCGUGUCGUGAGAUGUUGGGUUAAGUCCCGCAACGAGCGCAACCCUUGUCUUGUGUUGCCAGCACGUUAUGGUGGGGACUCGCGAGAGACUGCCGGGGUUAACUCGGAGGAAGGUGGGGAUGACGUCAAAUCAUCAUGCCCCUUAUGUCCAGGGCUUCACACAUGCUACAAUGGUCGGUACAGUGGGUUGCGAUGCCGUGAGGUGGAGCUAAUCCCUUAAAGCCGGUCUCAGUUCGGAUUGGAGUCUGCAACUCGACUCCAUGAAGUCGGAGUCGCUAGUAAUCGCAGAUCAGCAAUG